UGUUGAUGGGUGGUGGUUUCAAGUGCGGGAUUACAGCAAGUAAACUGCUUUGUUUUUAUUCCAUGAAAAGAGUAUAACUACCACGGUUAGCAUUCUCAAAGCUCUGUACACGCUGAUCUUUGCAACAUUCCCAUGAGGUUUUUUCCAAUUGAUACUCAAAAUUGAACACCUUGAAAUAAGAAGACUCUUGAGAAGCAAACCCUGAUGGUUCAAGGACCGAUAUUAGCCUUCUGAAGCUCUUCCUAGAGAUUUGACUUUUGAUAAGGAUAUUGUCCUCAAAUCAGACAUCCAGAGAGAACCAGAGACUCCACAGAAAACUUGAGACCCAGAUAAGAAGAUAGCAUAAACUGGAAGAGCAAAUGACCUCCAAGUCCAAGACACACCAGGAGGCUGCUCCAGAGCUACUGGUACACAGGAGAGGGGAUCAAGAUCUCUUGUGGACUCUGGUCACCAGCUGCCCACGUAACCCACACUCCCAUAUUUCCUCUCCUUGGUUAUCAGUGCACUGAGGGAUGCUACUCACCCAUGUCUUCCUUUGGCACAGCACCAGGAUUCUGCUUUUGGAUACAGAAUUUGGGAAGCAAAAUUCUGAAUUCUCUAGUUCUCAGUAUUUAUUUGUCUUGUGUUUCUGUGUCUUGCAAUACGUAAAUCAGCAGCUGUCAUGACUGGAGUUACUGUCAGGUAGCUGCAUCCUGGGUCUUAGCCACAACAGACAAAAGACACAGCACAAACAGUGGAAAACAACCAAAAUUUAAAAUAAAAUGUAACAAAACAAAGACACUGCUGUGCCGAAUUCUCUUUUGGUAAAUCAGCACAGAGUCAUUGUUAUUUACAUCAGCUAAGCAGAAGAAUGGAAACUGCUGACGGAAUGGGAGCUCAUAUGCACGAGUCGCCUCUCAUUGAAUUUCCAUGCUCUCGUGACCUAGUAGUGUUGAAGGGACAUUUGGCAGAAGCUGCUUUCCAGAUUUUUUUCUUCCCAAUGAAUGAAUUUUUGCAUUCCAGGUGCAUACUGGAGGUUUCCAGAAAGUUUUCUAAUGGUGAAAAAACAAUUCAGGCUAUGAGCUUGAAAUUAGUCAGCUUGCAUCUCAGGCAAAAGCUACUUGCCAGGCAGAUCUACUAGGGUAGAACAGCCUCCUAAGGGAAGCAAUGGAAAUUUCAUAUCUUGACACAUCACAGGCUACACAGGAUAAGGGACUAGCACAUGCAUAAGAAGAAGCAAUCUUGCUUUUCAAGAGAGAUAAGUUCAAACACUGAGCUGCUGAGAUACUUUGGGGACAAGUGUGAUGUGAGGUCUAAAAUAAACAGAGCACUUCAUUGCACUAUCAGUAAUGAGCUGUAAAGAACUAUCCUGUUUGCUGUACUGUGCUAAUAGGGUUGAAAAUACUGUAAAAUACUGAACACCAUAAAUGCUUGUUUAUAAAGGAAAUAAAGUAUUUUCUAGGGGAGGAAAAAAAAAAAACUUUGGUAAUCGUAUUUGUGAAAUAUAACUAAAAAGCCAAAACAUACAUUGAAAAUCCCCCACAAAAGCGGUGCAUAAUUUUGGAAAGACAUCUCAGAGAAACUACCGUUUCUAACACUGUUUCUAGUGUACAUUUCUGUUGCCUUAUAUACACAAUUUAAUUACCAUGGGUUUCAGCUUGUUUUUUCAAAUGGGAGUUAUGAUCAGUAUGGAUACCUUUCA
Molecule: long non-coding RNA, 1681 nt
Organism: Numida meleagris (helmeted guineafowl)
Lineage: Eukaryota; Metazoa; Chordata; Aves; Galliformes; Numididae
Exons: 4
Source: RefSeq, a predicted model, not a curated record